CAGGUAAAGGGGAAGCAAAGACGCAUUUCCUAAAACCAGCCGAUGUCAUAACCUCACCCAAGUCUUAUCACUGGAACCUCCCACACCCAGCUUGUCCACGUGGAGCCUCCAACAGCCAGCUUGUCCAUGGGGAGCCCCUGAUGCAACUAAUAUCCGGACAUAAAAUGUGGGCAGUGUGCUCUCCAGAUUCCUCUUGGUCCAGACUCCAUUCUCUGGGGCCCCCAUUAUGGUCUGCUCCAGCCUUAAUUACCAGAACAGAGAGACAGCAACGCUUUGCCUUCCACACUGACUCCCCCACCUCCAUGGAAAGUAAACCCUUGGAGCCUCUAAAGCACUUCCCUCUGCUGCUGUCAUCAUAACGGAAAGCAGAACCUGUGUUUUCUCUGUCUUCUGAGGUCAUAAGCCAUUAUGCUGUCAUGAAAGAAGACUAUGGUUUCAAGGUCGACCCGUGGGAAAUCCCUCCAGAUCGAAGAUGGACAGAGGCUUCAUGAGCCUCUCUGUGACCAUUUCAAUAGAGAGGGGCUGGGCUUCAGCCUCUGACUCCCAGCCAUCUACAUUCUUUCUUAGGUGUCAUGGAAACAGCAACUCUAGUAGUUUCAGAGAAUAUGUAGGCUUGGAAAAUGGGGUAGUUGACAGAAAGCAUGGCAUAUCAUAAAGGUCAGAGGAGACUGUGUUCUUAUAUUCUGUUGCUCUGUGACAAAUUGCCACAAUUUAAUGGCUUAAAAUGACACAAAUGUGUUAUCCUAUGGUUACAAUGGGUCAGGAGUCUGGACUAAGCUUGCAUAUAUUCUCAGCCAAAAGUCUUGCAAGCUAGAAUUUUGAGGUCCUUUGAAAAGUCCCACACUAGGAGAGUGACCCCUAAUGGUGUCUAAGACAGAAUUACCUGUCACCCAGAUGGACCUUAACCCAAUGUACAGAAAAUGUAUGUCUGACUCAUUGUGUCCUUAUAUGGAGACUUUAAAUUGAAACUAGCUACAUUUUAAGUCUUGCUUUCCUAGUACACUGUGAGGUCUUGGAAGCUGAGAUAUUUCUUUGUUGUACACUUUUUAUCUACAGUGCUUUGCACACUGCCUGGAACAUCUAGAGACGGAUUCAAUAAAUAUUUGCCAAAUGA
Peromyscus californicus insignis is the source of this 1114-nucleotide long non-coding RNA. RefSeq lists it as uncharacterized. NCBI's taxonomy places the organism in Eukaryota, Metazoa, Chordata, Mammalia, Rodentia, Cricetidae. The transcript is spliced from 2 exons. The record is from RefSeq and is a predicted model, not a curated record.